This 611-nucleotide long non-coding RNA is filed under the name Felis catus (domestic cat). Its description in RNAcentral is "lncRNA (ENSFCAG00000041045.2)". Lineage: Eukaryota; Metazoa; Chordata; Mammalia; Carnivora; Felidae. The record is from RNAcentral.
UUGCAGCUUCUGCUCUGUGAAUUCUAUAAAGGUAAUUAACGGGAAGAUCAAAUAUGAUGGUGCAUGGGGAAGCCAUAUGUAAUCUGGAAGACAAUUUAGGCACAACUACUCAGUCUGGAGUCGAGGGAGAGAGGACUUGGGAAGCCGGUCUGACCCCAACGGAUACCUCUACUCGACUGACCGGUCAACAGACGGAGUGCCUUUUACUUAACACUCAGCAUCAGGGAUGCUGUGGUUUCCUUUGCACAUGUCCCAGGGGCCCAGGACGUGUAUUACACGGACUGCAAAUACACGGACUGCCAUUGUCCCAUUUUCCCAGAGCGGGCUUGAGGUCAGGUAUGUGUGAUUCUUUGGAGUAAAUGUGUCAUAAACUAAAACAUAAUAAUUAUGUGCACAUGUAUACAGUUCAGCCCCAAGAGAUGCGAUGCAGCUGAACUUACGCUUUCAAGGGCAGUUGGAGCAAAGUGACCUCAAACUAGGAAUUAAGAUGCACAGAAGGUCUUUGACUGCAUUUACGUAGUAUGCCUCAAACUGCUCUAUUCAGUCACAUCUAUGGCUCUGAUUCAAAUUGCAAAUUAUCUCAAUAAAUACCUGGCUACACUGGGGAAGCA